CACACCAGGGCACUCAGUCCCAGAGACACACCCAGCAGCCACACCCGAUGAGCAGGUGCCCAGACACGUGAAGGCACAUACACUCCACGCAGAGCUCUGGGUAUGACACACACACUCCACACCCCACACGUGUGAUCACACCAGCACCUCCUGAGGCAGCCAGGAGGGUGGCCUUUGCGUGGGCCCCAGAACAGCAGCCCAUAGGUGAGGAAACCGGAGCUCAGAGAGGAGAAAUGAAUUGCCCAAGCUCACCCUGCAAGAUGCAGGAAGCCGCCGCUGGAAGCAGGAAGGACUCCCUGGCCCUCCCUCAGCCCAGGCAGGGGAUCCCUCAGCCCCGCCCCUGACCCUGUCCAAGCUGCCCCACCCUGAAGUCUGAUAGGAGUCUUCUUCCUGGCGGGGCUGUAACUGGGAAAUCACUCUGGGCCCGGAGCCAGGCCCCAGGGCUGGGAAUCCCAGCCUCUUGUCUGGGUAGAACGGCCUUCUGGACAGCAAGGAGCCCCCCAACUGAGGGCAGGCCUGCAGCCCCUUCCAGCCCAGCCAGGCCAAUCCCCCCAUCAAACAGACCAGCCUCAUCUUGCACAGAGCGCCUGCCAGUCUCAGGCUCAACUCUUGUCCAGUGAUGCUACCUUCAAGAGGGCCUGGAGCCAGGCUUGCUGAUGGACAGAUGGACCCAUGGACAGACAGAUUUGCCUGGAGCACACACAUGAGCUCCUGUUACAGCCUCGGUUCUGACCCUGACCCUCAGAAAACAGGACGCCCUGGAGAACGGUCUCAUUUGGGGGUGUUAUCAUAACCCUCGAAGAAACAAAAAGAAACAAAAGAAGUUCUAUUUCUUUCCCCAAAUUCCUUUUCUUGUGAAUAACUCUGCAGAGUAAGACAGGCAGCUGAUAGAGUCAACGUCCCUUCACCGGUUCUAAAAUGCAUCUUUCCAUCGAGGGCUGUGCUUUCCUACACUUAGCCCCAGCUUCAGCAUCCCCAGGGACAGAUAUCCAUGUUCAUUCUAGACAUCUUGGGGGUGAGGGAAGGCUGGAAUGCUGCAGGCUUUUCUUUAUAGCAGCCCUGCUUGGAGAAUCAGCAUUUUACAGGUAAGGCCACAGAGGCUCUGAAAGUUGAGUGCCUGGCCCACCGUCACACAGCGACUAGCUCCCAUGUCUGCUGGUGGCCAGGAAGGAGGUUCCCCAAAGUCUGAGAUCUUGGCCCAGAGCCCACCCCAAGACUCCAGCCCUUGAGAGCCGCCAGACCUGCCUUAUAAGCCCAAAGGCCGGAUGGCCGGCUCGGGCACUGGGCCGGGCCUUGUAGGGAGACAAGGCAUUGCUGCCAAGUGCUCGGCCCCAGGAUGGCCUCCCCUGCCUGGCUAAAUUUAGCGGCUCUGUGAACAUGGAGGGGGCCUGAUGCCUGUCCUGGAGGCCAGCCCAGGCCCUCAAGGGGGUCGCACAGGCUCCAAAGAGUCUUCUUGGCCAUUCAGCGUCCCAAGGUUGCAGAGGCCACACCGCCGCCCAAAGAGGAGCUCAGCCCAAGCUCCCCAGACCAUCUGGGCCAGUCUCAGGUGUCCCAGGGACUCACAUGGUGCCUCAGCCUCUCAGACACUGGCUAGAACAUGGACCUGGGCUGGUCUAACUGGACUGUCUGGGGGACAUGUGGGGAGGGCAGGCAUCCAUGCGGAGGCCACAGCAGGGGACCCCAGGCUGGCUUCUCCCCACCACCUGGACCUUACAUGGCUUCUCCAGCCUCUUCUAUCCCCAACUAUGGGCCAUGACCCGGCUGGAGCCCCUCUGCCUGUGUCUGAGGCAUCACAGCCGCCUGGUUCUCCUCCAUGCUUUGGGGUCAUUUCCCCUUGGCCUUCAGCCUCUUUCUGCCCCUGGAAUGUGGGGUGAUUUGGGGCUGGCCUGGGUCCCUGCACUGCACAUUUCGCAGGCACACACCCAGAGGUCCAUGUCAAGCUGAUGCUGAAGAUGCUACACCCACAGCGACCACGUACCCACUACCCACUCUGGCCCCCACCUCUUUUUCUUCUAAAUCAAACUCCAUUAGGGUAUAAAUUUGUUGUUGUUGUUGUUCAGUA
Long non-coding RNA from Odocoileus virginianus texanus, 2062 nucleotides. RefSeq lists it as uncharacterized. The record is from RefSeq and is a predicted model, not a curated record. NCBI's taxonomy places the organism in Eukaryota, Metazoa, Chordata, Mammalia, Artiodactyla, Cervidae.